CUAGCUGUAAACGAUGGAUACUAGGCGUUGAGAGUAUCGACCCUCUCAGUGUCGUAGCUAACGCGUUAAGUAUCCCGCCUGGGGAGUACGCGCGCAAGCGUGAAACUCAAAGGAAUUGACGGGGGCCCGCACAAGCGGUGGAGUAUGUGGUUUAAUUCGAUGCAACGCAAAGAACCUUACCAGGGCUUGACAUGUCCGGAACCCUGCCCAAAGGCGGGGGUGCCUACGGGAACCGGAACACAGGUGGUGC
Molecule: ribosomal RNA, 250 nt
Filed under: uncultured Chroococcidiopsis sp.
Lineage: Bacteria; Bacillati; Cyanobacteriota; Cyanophyceae; Chroococcidiopsidales; Chroococcidiopsidaceae
Description: partial 16S ribosomal RNA
Rfam family: Bacterial small subunit ribosomal RNA
Source: RNAcentral